Molecule: ribosomal RNA, 465 nt
Filed under: uncultured bacterium
Lineage: Bacteria
Description: partial 16S ribosomal RNA
Rfam family: Bacterial small subunit ribosomal RNA
Source: RNAcentral
GAUGAACGCUGGCGGCGUGCCUAACACAUGCAAGUCGAACGGAAAGGCCAGGCUUGUACGGUACUCGCGUGGCGAACGGGUGGGUAACAAGUAGGUGAUCUGCCCUGCACUAAGGGUUAAGUCAGGGCGACAGGGCCGAAUACAUGACAGGAGACAUUUUUAACGUGAUGGUUGGAUAGUUAGUUCGGGGUUGGCUGAGAUUGAGGCAUAUCUGCUUGUUGGAGUGGUAAUGGCGUACCAAGGCGGCGAGGGGUAGCCGGCCUGCGGGGGUGGCCGGCCACAUUGGGACUGAGAGACGGCCCAGACUCCUACGGGAGGCAGCAGUGGGAAAGAUUGAACAAUGGGCGCAAGCCUGAUGCAGCGACGCCGCGUGGGGGAUGACGGCCUUCGGGUUGUAAACUACUUUCGCUAGGGACGAAGCUUUUUGUGACGGUACCUAGAUAAGAAGCACCGGCUAACUACGUG